Molecule: ribosomal RNA, 426 nt
Filed under: uncultured bacterium
Lineage: Bacteria
Description: bacterial SSU rRNA
Rfam family: Bacterial small subunit ribosomal RNA
Source: RNAcentral
UCGAGAGGCUUCGGCAAUGGGGGAAACCCUGACCGAGCGACGCCGCGUGGAGGAUGAAGGCCUUUGGGUUGUAAACUCCUGCCAUGAGGGAAGAAUCGUCAUCGUUCGAAUAGGGCGGUGACCUGACGGUACCGCAAGAGGAAGCCCCGGCUAACUUCGUGCCAGCAGCCGCGGUAAUACGAAGGGGGCAAGCGUUGUUCGGAAUUACUGGGCGUAAAGGGCGCGUAGGCGGCUUACCAAGUCAGGCGUGAAAUUCCCGGGCUCAACCUGGGGGCUGCGCUUGAUACUGGCGAGCUUGAAUACGGGAGAGGAUAGUGGAAUUCCCAGUGUAGAGGUGAAAUUCGUAGAUAUUGGGAAGAACACCAGUGGCGAAGGCGGCUAUCUGGCCCGUUAUUGACGCUGAGGCGCGAAAGCGUGGGGAGCAAA